AAGACACAUUAUUUCCACAUGGGAGAACUAGAAAGGAUCUGAUCUUGUCUCAAAUUGUACUCCUGGUUCCUAGAAAUACUCUUGCUAGGAGAUAAGGAAUAUGGUGUAACCAUGGAUGUCCCCUGGGUGUUCUGGAUUGAAUGAAAUCCUCCUUCUCUACCAUGAGAGUGGUCGUAGAAUAAAAAUUCCAGAUGGGCUAAUCAUAACACAAACAUUCACUGAGGUUUCAAGCUGGGACAUCUGGGAGAACAGCUAUGGAGCAAAAUGCUAAAAAGAAAAGGUGCAUUCAUCCUAACUGGGACAGCUUUUACCCCGGAGUGGCCAGGGAAGUGCUGUCUUCAUUUGGCCAGCAAUAAUUAAUGGCAGGAAUUCCCAGCCAGUCCACCCUUGGACCUGAAGGCUUCUCUCGGAUAGCAGGCAGAAAACCUGGCUUUAAAAGAGGAGCUCAGACAGGAAGCAGCAAUCUUCCAGGAGGAUUUCUGAGUCAAGCAGGAGAGCAACUGGCUUCUUGAAGUGUGAAUUUCAAAGAUCCCUAAAACCCUUGGCUGCACAGUUGGAGCAGGACUGAAGAACCAGCACCCCAGAGGACCUGCAUGUCCCCAGCACUUGUACCUUGAGUCAUGGCUGAGCUGCACAAGCCUCUUCAGAGUGAGAAACCUCCAUGCUGGGGUCGGCUCUGAAACAGCUGAUUUGUGUCAACACCAAGUCCAGGCUGCUUUUGAAAGUGUCUCAUGUCUGUGCCUGAGCUCCCAAUCCCAUCUGAGACACCAAGGUGUGCUCAGAAAUAGUGUAACAACAGGAGGGACAGCAGGUGAGUGUGUGCAUGGGGACAUUGCUGUCCCUGGGUCCUGUUAAAGGCCUCGGUGUGCUGCAGCCACUGCAAGCAGCUCUAUAAAUUAGCAAUUCCUUUAACAGCUGUGUGCACAGCUGGGGCUAGAUCCCUUUGGUGGGCAGAAGAGUGAUGUGAGCUGUGAGCAUGCUGAGUAGGGUAGAAAGGGGGUUUGUGUGGUUUUAUUCACUAAGGGAUUGAUAAGCUAUUCAGUAAAGGCUUAUGGGGGAAAGUGAGUGCACUUGUGAUGGAGAUUGUGAUUUCUUUUUUCCUUGUUAUCAAUACUCUGUCCAGUCUGCCAUGGGCUUUCCUCUGACCCUGCUGCUCAUAUACUUUUGCAUUUCCUCUGUCAAUUAGGCUAAAAUAUGAGGGAAAAGGCAAGAGAAGGGCUCUUGUCAAGUGGUUCUCCCAGGGUUAUGAACACAGGUCUUAAAAACUGCCUCAUUAAAUCUCCCUCUCAAGGCCUUUCAGAAUGUUUCUGAUUUAACUGUUUUGCAUCAUACCAUUCCAAUUUUAAUUUCUUCCGGAGGUGAGAUGCUGCUAUAUUUGCCAAAUAUCAUUUCAUCUUAUGUGUUACAACAACCACUGACCUUUCCCUUUUUCUGAAGGAUGGUACUUUUGGCACACCCAGGAAGCCAGUCCAUAAGACAGUGUUUUUCUGCCCUUUUGAAUCCUGCCAUUUCCAGGCAGUAGGAGUUCACAGUGAGAGUAAACAUGUGGAAGCCACAGGAAUCUUUAAAUUGUGUCACAAAGUUUCUGUUUGCAUUUAAUUUUAUAAUUAUAUAUAUAUAUAUGUAUAUAUAAUUUAUUUAAAUUUUAA
This 1649-nucleotide long non-coding RNA is filed under the name Serinus canaria (Common canary). RNAcentral describes it as "lncRNA (ENSSCAG00000005477.1)". Lineage: Eukaryota; Metazoa; Chordata; Aves; Passeriformes; Fringillidae. The record is from RNAcentral.